UCUGGUUCAUACAUGACGCUCGGACCAAAUUCUUCAAUGAUCAGCGACAAAUAUUACCGCACCCUAACGUUAUUCGAGGGCCGACUCUUUGUGGGAGGAAAGGACCAAUUAUUUUCUCUAAAUCCUGCCAACCUUUCAUUGCUUGAUAGUGCUGUGGACACUGGAUCGUGCAGUAGCUGUAGUAAUUACAUCCGUGUGAUCCAAUCUCUUCCUGUACUGAACAAUACCUUGCUGGAGUGUGGAACCGGUAACGAAGAUCCUUACUGCCGACA
Molecule: long non-coding RNA, 272 nt
Organism: Acanthaster planci (crown-of-thorns starfish)
Lineage: Eukaryota; Metazoa; Echinodermata; Asteroidea; Valvatida; Acanthasteridae
Source: RefSeq, a predicted model, not a curated record